This 1448-nucleotide long non-coding RNA is filed under the name Oreochromis niloticus (Nile tilapia). RNAcentral describes it as "lncRNA (ENSONIG00000037214.1)". The record is from RNAcentral. Lineage: Eukaryota; Metazoa; Chordata; Actinopteri; Cichliformes; Cichlidae.
AUUUAUCAAUUCAAUCACCCCAGAGAUAUUGGUUUGUGAGUUUUGGAGAAAAAGUAACACAUCAUCUGCAUAAAGGCUGAUUUUAUGUUCUACAUUCUUGCAUUUUAUGCCCUUAAUUACUGAAUUCUGUCUAAUUGCUGCUGCUAGUGGCUCAAUAAAAAUUGCAAACAGUGAGUGCACUGGUCUUGAAUGUCAGCAAGCCAGAAGUCGUGCACCAGCUCCAGAUCCUUCACUCGGAUCCGCAACGGCUGGAGAGAAUUGUUGAUUCAGGUGCAAUCUUAGUAGCCACAAUAUCCUUGCCUGUGAAGCCAUUUCUAUGCAACGCAGUGAUGGCUGCACGCGUUUCUUUGCAGGUCACCAUGGUUAACAAUGGAAGAACAAUGAUUUCAAGCAUCACCCUCCUUUUAACAUGUCAGGUCUGCCAUUCUAACCCAAUCAGCCUGACAUAAUGAUCUCCAGCCUUGUGCUCGUCAACAUUCUCACCCGAGUUAACAAGACGAUUACUGAAACAAAUCCCGGUCAUGGCAAAACCUGUUUUCAGUUUUCUCUUUUGUUCUGCCUCUUUUCUGCAGAAAUUCUGCUGAUUUACCUCUUUUCUGCAAAAUUUUCAGCCUUUUCACCUCUUCUCAGCACAAUUCUCAGCAGCUUCUGCUCAUUUUAGCAGAAUUGUCGGUCUCUCCUCCUCUUUUUUGAGAGAGUGAGUUUAGCUCAGUGAGAUGAGUAGCUGCUUUGAGCCUGGUAGGGCCAGGUUCAAAUCCUGCUCAGGACAAUUUUUUUUUUUCACCACCAUACAACUUUUUGCAACUUUUCAUCUUUUUCAGCUUUUCAGCAGACAGCUUCAGCGUUAAGGCAUCCACACAGCAUUUUCGCAGGAAAUGCAAAUUUUUCUAGUUAUUCUAGUUGCCACUUUUUGUACGUUUUUUGGCACUUAACUACUUUAACAAUUUUCAGCCGAUUUUCACCGUUCAAAUUUUAAACUAUUCUGCUAUUUCUGCUAAUGAUGGCUAUGACUUUUGGUAUUUUAUGCUAUUAUACUUUUUAAAAUAUUAAGCUUUUUUCCUUUAAUUUGUCCCAUUGAAAUGAAUGGAAAACUUCCAAAAUUCUGCUAAAACUUGCUUGUUUUUGAAACUUAACUACUUUUUCAUACUUUCGCCUAGAACAACCAUUCAAAUUUUAAAAUGUUCACAAAUUAUUGGGCUAUUCAUGAAUGAUUCAGCUUUUUCAUAUCUGUUACCAUUUUAAUCUUAUCCCUCUUUAAGUUUUGAGUUUCAUUUUUGUGAUUUUUCACAAAAUACAUGCGUUGUUAUGGUUGCUAUGCACUUGGCUUUCAGUGUGCCACUGAAGGUUUUGCAGUCUUCUCUUCAUGUCCGAACAACUUCUUGCUACUUGCUCAAUCUUCACUCCACUUCCACAAAUUAUACAUCAAAACGUAGGUAUUUUUGCUGGCU